GACGAACGCUGGCGGCGUGCCUAAUACAUGCAAGUCGAACGCAGGGGGGAAGGGUGAGUAACACGUGGGUAACCUCCCAUAAGAGGGGAUAACACUUGGAAAAAGGUGCUAAACCGAUACUGAUGGAUGGACCAGGGGUGAAUUAGCUAGUUGGUGAGGUAACGGCUCACCAAGGCAACGAUGCAUAGCCGUGCUGAUAGGGUGACCGGCCACACUGGAACUGAGACACGGCCCAGACUCCUACGGGAGGCAGCAGUAGGGAAGCUUCCGCAAUGGGCUCAAGUCUGACGCAGCCACGCCGCGUGUGUGAAGAAGGUUUUCUGGUUGUAAAACUCUGUUGUCAGAGAGGCGUUAUCUAACCAGAAAGCCACGGCUAACUACGUGCCAGCAGCCGCGGUAAUUC
This 403-nucleotide ribosomal RNA is filed under the name uncultured bacterium. RNAcentral describes it as "partial 16S ribosomal RNA". It matches the Rfam family "Bacterial small subunit ribosomal RNA", at positions 28 to 526 of the family's 1533-position model. The record is from RNAcentral.